AGUAAAAGUCGUAACAAGGUUUCCGUAGGUGAACCUGCGGAAGGAUCAUUAAUGAAUUGAAAGGGAGUUGAUGCUGGCCAGGUCUCUGGCAUGUGCUCGCUUCCGACAAUCUUAUCCAUACACCUGUGCACACUGUGAGGGCAUGCAAGUGCCCUUAUUUACUACAUACACCUAAUAUGGAAAUCGCACGUGACUUGCGUCGUAUGGCGCUUAAAACUAAAAACAACUUUUAACAACGGAUCUCUUGGCUCUCGCAUCGAUGAAGAACGCAGCGAAAUGCGAUAAGUAAUGUGAAUUGCAGAAUUCAGUGAAUCAUCGAAUCUUUGAACGCACCUUGCGCUCCUUGGUAUUCCGAGGAGUACGCCUGUUCGAGUGUCGUGAAACUCUCAAGCUAGAUGCUUUAGUGUCAUCUACUUGGUUAUUGGACUCUGCUGUCUCCUUGUCUGGAACGGCUGGUCUCAAAUGUAUUAGCUGGUCCUUGUUGUGGGAUUUGGUUCUACUCAGCGUGAUAAUCUAUGACCGCUGAGGACAUCUCUCGGGAUGGCCAAGCCUGCCUUGGGCUGCUUCUAACUCAUCAUCAUGAUAUUUUUCAACUUUGACCUCGAAUCAGGCGGGACUACCCGCUGAACUUAAGCAUAUCAAUAAGCGGAGGA
Molecule: ribosomal RNA, 653 nt
Filed under: uncultured fungus
Lineage: Eukaryota; Fungi
Description: eukaryotic LSU rRNA
Rfam family: 5.8S ribosomal RNA (bases 225-378)
Source: RNAcentral